GACUACGUAGCUCAGUUGGCAGAGCAUUGGGCUAGUAUUCCAAAGGUCGUAGGUUCGAAUCCCACCAUGGUAA
This 73-nucleotide transfer RNA is filed under the name Paramuricea clavata. It matches the Rfam family "tRNA". Rfam says of the family: Transfer RNA (tRNA) molecules are approximately 80 nucleotides in length. Their secondary structure includes four short double-helical elements and three loops (D, anti-codon, and T loops). Lineage: Eukaryota; Metazoa; Cnidaria; Anthozoa; Malacalcyonacea; Plexauridae. The record is from Rfam by way of RNAcentral.